Molecule: ribosomal RNA, 507 nt
Filed under: uncultured bacterium
Lineage: Bacteria
Description: bacterial SSU rRNA
Rfam family: Bacterial small subunit ribosomal RNA
Source: RNAcentral
AGAGUUUGAUCCUGGCUCAGGAUGAACGCUAGCUACAGGCUUAACACAUGCAAGUCGAGGGGUCUGCUUCGGCAGACGACCGGCGCACGGGUGAGUAACGCGUAUCCAACCUGCCCUUCAUAUUGGGAUAGCCUCUCGAAAGGGAGAUUAAUACCGAAUAACAUGAAAGAGUUGCCUGAUUUUUUCAUGAAAGCUCCGGCGAUGAAGGAUGGGGAUGCGUUCCAUUAGGUAGUAGGCGGGGUAACGGCCCACCUAGCCGACGAUGGAUAGGGGUUCUGAGAGGAAGGUCCCCCACACUGGAACUGAGACACGGUCCAGACUCCUACGGGAGGCAGCAGUGAGGAAUAUUGGUCAAUGGGCGCAAGCCUGAACCAGCCAAGUAGCGUGAAGGAUGACUGCCCUAUGGGUUGUAAACUUCUUUUAUACGGGAACAAACGAAGGUACGUGUACCUUUUUGCGUGUACCGUAUGAAUAAGCAUCGGCUAACUCCGUGCCAGCAGCCGCGGU